UACGAAGGGGGCUAGCGUUGCUCGGAAUCACUGGGCGUAAAGCGCACGUAGGCGGAUUGUUAAGUCAGGGGUGAAAUCCUGGAGCUCAACUCCAGAACUGCCUUUGAUACUGGCGAGCUCGAGUCCGGGAGAGGUGAGUGGAACUGCGAGUGUAGAGGUGAAAUUCGUAGAUAUUCGCAAGAACACCAGUGGCGAAGGCGGCUCACUGGCCCGGUACUGACGCUGAGGUGCGAAAGCGUGGGGAACAAACAGG
This 253-nucleotide ribosomal RNA is filed under the name uncultured bacterium. RNAcentral describes it as "partial 16S ribosomal RNA". It matches the Rfam family "Bacterial small subunit ribosomal RNA", at positions 524 to 776 of the family's 1533-position model. The record is from RNAcentral.